AGCAGCCGCGGUAAUUCCAGCUCCAAUAGCGUAUAUUAAAGUUGUUGCAGUUAAAAGCUCGUAGUUGAAUUUCGGGAUUAAUAUGUUGGUCGUGCCUUGGUACGUACUGGCAUUAUUGAUUCCUACCUUCUGAAGAACCUCGAUGUCAUUAAUUUGGUGUCUUGGGGAAUCAGGACCGUUACUUUGAAAAAUUAGAGUGUUUAAAGCAGGCUCGCGCUUGAAUACAUUAGCAUGGAAUAAUGAAAUAGGACGUUUGAUUCUAUUUUGUUGGUUUCUAGGAUCGACGUAAUGAUUAAUAGGGAUAGUUGGGGGCAUUAGUAUUCAAUUGUCAGAGGUGAAAUUCUUGGAUUUAUUGAAGACUGACUACUGCGAAAGCAUUUGCCAAGGAUGUUUUCAUUAAUCAAGAACGAAAGUUUAGGGGAUCGAAGACGAUCAGAUACCGUCGUAGUCUUAACCAUAAACUAUGCCGACUAGGGAUCGGAUGAUGUUAAUUUUUUAAUGACUCAUUCGGCGCCUUACG
Molecule: unclassified non-coding RNA, 520 nt
Filed under: uncultured Glomus
Lineage: Eukaryota; Fungi; Glomeromycota; Glomeromycetes; Glomerales; Glomeraceae
Description: SSU rRNA
Rfam family: Eukaryotic small subunit ribosomal RNA
Source: RNAcentral